UCCGGUUUGGCACCGGCAGUCUUCCUAGAGUCCCCAACUAAAUGCUGGCAACAUGCGACGGGGGUUGCGCUCGUUGCGGGACUUAACCCAACAUCUCACGACACGAGCUGACGACAGCCAUGCACCACCUGUGAACCGGCCCCGAAGGGAAGCCCUGUUUCCAGGGCGGUCCGGCACAUGUCAAGCCCAGGUAAGGUUCUUCGCGUUGCGUCGAAUUAAACCACAUGCUCCGCUGCUUGUGCGGGCCCCCGUCAAUUCCCUUGAGUUUUAGCCUUGCGGCCGUACUCCCCAGGCGGGGCACUUAAUGCGUUAGCUUCGGCACGGGGGGAGUCGACACCCCCCACACCUAGUGCCCAUCGUUUACAGCGUGGACUAC
Molecule: unclassified non-coding RNA, 376 nt
Filed under: uncultured Solirubrobacteraceae bacterium
Lineage: Bacteria; Bacillati; Actinomycetota; Thermoleophilia; Solirubrobacterales; Solirubrobacteraceae
Description: contains 16S-23S intergenic spacer region
Source: RNAcentral